Molecule: long non-coding RNA, 290 nt
Filed under: Trifolium pratense (red clover)
Lineage: Eukaryota; Viridiplantae; Streptophyta; Magnoliopsida; Fabales; Fabaceae
Description: long non-coding RNA (TPRA_LNC011742)
Source: RNAcentral
UCUAGAAUCCACUAGACUUCCGGAAUCCACCAGAAGGAGUAAUUUGGAGUCCACCAAAUUUGAGAGAAUUCUCUAUAAUUUUAUUGAAUGAAAAAGUUGCCUUCAAGGCUACAAUAGUUUACCUUAAAUAGUAGUGAAAAAUAAAAAUAACAAAUCUUCUAAAAGAUUGUAAAAAUAAAAAUAACAAACCUAGCUAAAUAAAAAUAACAAAUCUACCUAAAAUAUAAAAAUAACUAAUCUAGGUGAAAUAUAAAAAUAAGAAAUCUACCUGAAAUAUAAUAAAACUAAAU